RNAcentral lists this long non-coding RNA (3957 nucleotides) under Corvus moneduloides (New Caledonian crow). RNAcentral describes it as "lncRNA (ENSCMUG00000017581.1)". The record is from RNAcentral. Lineage: Eukaryota; Metazoa; Chordata; Aves; Passeriformes; Corvidae.
AAAUGUGCAGCGGUUUUGAAAGCGGCUUCUCCGUUCAGCGCAGAUGCUGUAACCCCUGGGGCGAGCUGUCCCUCUGUCCGUUGCAGUGAAACCGCUGCGACUGUGCGGGCAGCCCGAGGCCAGGGCAGCACUGCCCGGGGCAGGGGCGGAAGGGCCCCUGGUGAUGCUCCCGAAGUGUUUGCGUUCGCCUGCGACCCUCGGGGAGCCCCGGCCCUGGCCCCGGUUUGCGCUGCCCCCGGUGCGGGGCUGUUCAGUGCCGCCCGUUUCGGUCUGCGCUGUGCCAGAUCUCCCGGUAAGGCACCGACCCCUCCGCAGCCCUUUGCUGACGCGCCCUCCAUCCCUCUCUUGGCCAUUUCUUCUGCCGAGAUCGGAGCCACGUGCGCGGCCGCACGGGUCCCUUGGCGGUCCCUUCCCCGUCGGGGCCUGACGGGGCGCUGGGGGCUCCUUUGCUCGCCCCGGGCGCGGUGCGGGCGGGGCCGCGGCGGUGCCGGGCAGGGGGUGCAGGGCCGAGGCGCGGCCGCCAGGAGGCGCUGCUGCUCGCGCUGCGCGGGGCGGGCGGGCGCACCUGGCGCGCGCGGGGCCGUGGCUCCGGGCCCGCUCCGCGCCCCGCGCAGCGGCUGCGCCCGACCCGGCCGGCGCCAGCGGCCGCUGCCGGAGCUGCGCCCCGCGCACACGGGCCGUGCCCGCCCCGGCGCAGCACGGUCGGCAGCCGCUCUCCCACUGCUAGCGCGGCGGGGGACGUCCGCAGCCCGCCGGCAUGGAGCCCUAGAGGGCAGCUGCUGGGGAGCUGUCACAGAAAGUGAAAGAUGAAGCCUCUUGUUCUCUUGGUCCUUGUGAUCUGUACUGUAGUCAGCAUGAAUUUGAAGCUCGUGUCAAAGAGAAAUUCUGGUAAGUCACAGAAAAUUAUUUUUACUUUUGGAUCUGGACCUCAUGCUCAUGCAAUCAAGCAUUUUAGAGGCCUGCUUUUUGUUUUGCAUAUAUACUACUUGUUCUGUUCUGCCAAAAAUAAAAAAGAAAUCAUAACUGAUAUGGUUUGCUUAGUAAAUGAUUACAGGACGAAUUUUCUCAAUAUAAUUUUCUGUUGGUGUGACUUUAAGCUGUUUGAAAGGGUCCUUAUGUUUUCUUUUGUUAAAAAAAAAAAAGAAAAUGUUGAUCGGGUUGAAACCUCACAAAGAUAAUAAUGACUUUGGCAUUGUGGCAUUGUUCUAGCAUCCAGUCUUUUACUUAUGCUAAGGGAUUUUCUUAACUGUGGAUGUGGUCUGUGGUGAGUUUUAGGUCUGGAUGAUGUUUUGUAUGUUGAAAGGUCCUUGAAAAAGUUAUGCUGGCCAGACAUAUGAUCAUAUAUAGGGUUAACUGGGAAGAGCUCUCCUGAGUACAUAAUCUCUGAUUAUUCUGGCAGUGGAAGGGAGUGGGAGUUGGUUCAUGUUUACAUCUGCUUUUGAAACCUACUAAUAGUAACAGAACACUUCAAAGAAGCAUUAGAAUCUCUCCUUCCAGGGUAGACAGUUCAUCUGGAUAAUGGUUCAUCUGUACUUGAGCCUGAAGUGAUGUCUACUGCAUGCAGCUCUGCCCUCCCAAAGGAGUGACUUCAUGAGACUGUUUGUAUUUCUCAAAUAAGAUGUGAGUUUGGAAAACAUUGGGCAAACAAGCAGGUCAGCUGCAGUGCUACACAGUGGUGUCAGUCUGUUACAGCCAGGUGUGUGUGUAAGGGUAAAUAUUGGACUUCAAAGAAUGUUAACUUGUUUUUACGCACUGUGUGUGUGCUAUACUUACACGUGUGAGGGCUUCCACUGAUCUUGCUGUCCUCAAGGUCUUCAGCUUUUUCAACACUGCAGGUACAAACAGAAAUUACUGACUUCAGUUGGUGUGGCCAGUAUUAAGUUUAAUUUCUGCAUUUCUUGAGAACAGAGGAGAAAAUUAUUGGGCCAUCUUUUAAAAACAAUUACAUGUCACAUCCCAGGCUGAGAAGUGUUGCUCUGGGAACUGCCAGGUUCUGGGCUGAAUUCUUUCUGCUAGGCUGGAAAGUAUAAACGGAGGUUGCUAAACUGCACUAGUCUCUAGCUUUUUGUUGUGGUUAUUGUGUCCAGAACCCUGUUUGCCCUGUGAGAGCAGUCAUGGGUAUUGUGGUUUGGGAACAGUGCAUCUUGGUCUAAACUCUGCUAAGGGUGAUGGUGUUCCUGUUUUUCAAAACUGCUGUCACUGGCCUGGAUGGAAACCCUCUGUGAGAUCCACAAUCAGUGUAACUGAACAGUCUCUAUUCAUUGAUGCCAGGCAGCAGCACCUGGCUGCAAGCAAGGGCCUGUGCAAUUCCUUUACCAGAAGUACACGACUGUAGAAGUGACAUGCUGAUGGUUGUAGCAUCAUUCAGCUGGUAGUUUACCUUUAAUUAUAUAUAUAUAUUUAAAAUCUGCUUUCUUUGACUCUGCAGAAUGUCUUGUAUUAAUAGCAGCUGUUGACAGUGUCAAUUUAGGUUCAGUACUGGUGGGAAAAAUGCUUUAAUAUGUUAGACUGCCUCUUGCUAAAUAUAACCACUAGUGAAUAGGUGGUUCUUUUUCAUUUCAUUUGAUUGUGCCAGUAUGUGUUGAGAAAAAGAUGAAGAGGAAAAAAUGCACGUAAAGUAAAAUUACAGUUUCUUUGCAAGUACAUAAUCAUGUAGUUGGCUUUCACCUUCAAUACUCAUUCUGGUCGCUGCAUGGAGCAAACUAUUGAUUUCUUUUUCUUUUUGCUUUUUCCACUACAUUGUGUGUGAAAUAAUUUUCUGUUUCUGUGAUAUCAGCGCUUGGAGCAAAAUUGAUAAUUUGACUCCUUUUCUGAAAGGUCUUUAGAUUUGAAGGACUGUUGUUUGAUUGCUUGGGGUUUCACUAAAUGUUAUAUAUUGUGAAGACAGAGAUGCUCCAGAGACUUCUGAACUUUAAAUGUUUGUAUAGAGUUUUAAUGGAAGAUCAGGGAGAGUGGGUGGAUGCAGACAGGCAAAUGCACAAAGAAAAAACGUCAGCAUAUUUUCCAUAGGGUGACAGUAGCUGUAACAGGCUGGUGCUGUAGUUUGUUUUUUUUUUUUUUUUUUUUUACACUUGUGUCUUGAUGAAGGAGAGUGUAAAGGAGAAAUUAAUGUAAUAGUUAUUUGUGGGCAGCUGCACUGCAGUGUAAACUGCAGGACAUCUGGAAGUGGGAAAAGCGUUAUAGCUGUAGAUUAGAGCUGAGGUGGGGGGAGUGGAUGAAGGGCCCAAAGGAUGCUCUGUGGACAGGAUCUCUGCAGCAGUGUCUGGAGGGGUGUUGUAGUCUUGGGUCUUGCUGGCUAUUGGUAUAGGGAUGUCUGUGCUGGUGAGCAUUCUUAAAAGGGGAAGGGAAAUUGUGCAGACAGUUAUGUAGAGCAGUGUGAAGCAGUGCAUGGAAGGUGUUGACACUGAUGAUAAAGACAGAUUUGGGCUACUAGGACAAUAAACCAGCAAAAUCGGUGUCUUUGCUGACUUACGUAGACUGGCAUUUUUUCAAAGCAAUGCAUAGAAUUAUUGCACGAAUGGCCAGAAUUGUGAUUAGUGUCAAGUACAAGAGCAAUUAUGAAGUUGACUGGCAUGUGUGUAAUAUCACAUAAUAGAAUGUAUCUUGUUUAAGGGGUAGGGAGGAUCUAAAGAGAGCUGACUUGAAGAGGAACAAGGUAAAGAUGAGGUGUUUUCAGGUAAUGUAAAGGCCUCACUCAACUGAGGCAGUCAAAAGGGGAGCAGAAUGUCCAGAAGGGCUUUAUAGAUGAAACUGGAGUUGACUGACAGAGAGGAAAGGUUUGGCUAGGAAAGCAUCUUCAGAAGCUGGUGCAGAAAUUCUCCUUCAAAGUCAAGGAAUGGAAACCCAAGGGGAGAAAGUUGAGUAUGAGAGCUCCACCAAGUGCACACAGAGGCUGGACAACAGGCAAGUCAUUAAAGACUCUUGAGACAUUAAGAGCCAUUAAAGUCAGGAGUGGCG